Molecule: signal recognition particle RNA, 309 nt
Filed under: Propithecus coquereli (Coquerel's sifaka)
Lineage: Eukaryota; Metazoa; Chordata; Mammalia; Primates; Indriidae
Description: Metazoan signal recognition particle RNA (ENSPCOG00000002530.1)
Rfam family: Metazoan signal recognition particle RNA
About the family: The signal recognition particle (SRP) is a universally conserved ribonucleoprotein.
Source: Rfam by way of RNAcentral
GCGGGGCAUUGUGGCAUUUACUUGUAGUCCCAGCAACUCACUACUCAGGAGGCUGAGGCUGGAGGAUUGCUUGAGUCCAGGAGUUCUGAGCUGUAGUGCCCUAUGCUGACUGGUGUCUAAACAAAGUUCAGCAUCAAUAGGGUGACUUCCCAGGAGUGGGAGACCACCAUGUUGACGAAGGAGGGGUGAACCAGCCCAGGUCAGAAAUGAAGCAGUUCAAAACUCCUGUGCUGAUAAGUAAUGGGAUCAUACCUGUGGAUAGCCACUGCACUCCAGCAGCCUGGGCAACAGAGCAAGACCUUAUCUCAU